Molecule: ribosomal RNA, 504 nt
Filed under: uncultured bacterium
Lineage: Bacteria
Description: bacterial SSU rRNA
Rfam family: Bacterial small subunit ribosomal RNA
Source: RNAcentral
UAGUCCACGCUGUAAACGAUGAGAACUAGCCGUUGGGAGACUUGAUCUUUCGGUGGCGCAGCUAACGCAUUAAGUUCUCCGCCUGGGGAGUACGGCCGCAAGGUUAAACUCAAAUGAAUUGACGGGGGCCCGCACAAGCGGUGGAGCAUGUGGUUUAAUUCGAUGCAACGCGAAGAACCUUACCUGGUCUUGACAUCCUGCGAACUUUCUAGAGAUAGAUUGGUGCCUUCGGGGAGCGCAGAGACAGGUGCUGCAUGGCUGUCGUCAGCUCGUGUUGUGAAAUGUUGGGUUAAGUCCCGUAACGAGCGCAACCCCUGUCCUUAUUUGCCAGCAUUUAGUUGGGGACUAUAAGGAGACUGCCGGUGACAAACCGGAGGAAGGUGGGGACGACGUCAAGUCAUCAUGGCCCUUACGACCAGGGCUACACACGUGCUACAAUGGUGCAUACAGAGGGUUGCGAAGCCGCGAGGUGGAGCUAAUCUCNGAAAAUGCAUCGUAGUCCGG